RNAcentral lists this transfer RNA (72 nucleotides) under Ictidomys tridecemlineatus (thirteen-lined ground squirrel). RNAcentral describes it as "Spermophilus tridecemlineatus (thirteen-lined ground squirrel) tRNA". It matches the Rfam family "tRNA". Rfam says of the family: Transfer RNA (tRNA) molecules are approximately 80 nucleotides in length. RNAcentral also lists the same sequence under 1 other name. The record is from Rfam by way of RNAcentral. Lineage: Eukaryota; Metazoa; Chordata; Mammalia; Rodentia; Sciuridae.
AGAGUUGUAGCACAGUAGUAGAGCACUCACCUAGCACAUGUGAGGCACUGGGUUCAAUUCUCAGCACCACUA